Molecule: ribosomal RNA, 516 nt
Filed under: Paenibacillus sp.
Lineage: Bacteria; Bacillati; Bacillota; Bacilli; Caryophanales; Paenibacillaceae
Description: bacterial SSU rRNA
Rfam family: Bacterial small subunit ribosomal RNA
Source: RNAcentral
CAUGAAACACGGAGCAAUCUGUGGCUUAUAGAUGGGCCUGCGGCGCAUUAGCUAGUUGGUAGGGUAACGGCCUACCAAGGCGACGAUGCGUAGCCGACCUGAGAGGGUGAACGGCCACACUGGGACUGAGACACGGCCCAGACUCCUACGGGAGGCAGCAGUAGGGAAUCUUCCGCAAUGGACGCAAGUCUGACGGAGCAACGCCGCGUGAGUGAUGAAGGUUUUCGGAUCGUAAAGCUCUGUUGCCCUAGACGAACAGCAAGGCGAGUAACUGCGCUUUUUGUGACGGUAUAGGAGAAGAAAGCCCCGGCUAACUACGUGCCAGCAGCCGCGGUAAUACGUAGGGGGCAAGCGUUGUCCGGAAUUAUUGGGCGUAAAGCGCGCGCAGGCGGUUAAUUAAGUUGGGUGUUUAAGCCCGGGGCUCAACCCCGGUUCGCAUCCAAAACUGGUUGACUUGAGUGUAGGAGAGGAAAAGUGGAAUUCCACGUGUAGCGGUGAAAUGCGUAGAGAUGUGGA